Molecule: ribosomal RNA, 253 nt
Filed under: uncultured bacterium
Lineage: Bacteria
Description: partial 16S ribosomal RNA
Rfam family: Bacterial small subunit ribosomal RNA
Source: RNAcentral
UACGGGGGGUGCGAGCGUUGUUCGGAAUCAUUGGGCGUAAAGCGCACGUAGGCGGCCUGGUCAGUCGGAUGUGAAAGCCCCGGGCUUAACCUGGGAACUGCAUUCGAUACUGCCUGGCUAGAGUGUGGUAGAGGGAGGUGGAAUUCCAGGUGUAGCGGUGAAAUGCGUAGAUAUCAGGAGGAACACCGGUGGCGAAGGCGACUUUCUGGCCCUAUACUGACGCUGAGACGCGAGAGCGUGGGUAGCAAACAGG